This is a long non-coding RNA of Nothoprocta perdicaria, 1164 nucleotides long. RefSeq lists it as uncharacterized. The transcript has 4 exons. NCBI's taxonomy places the organism in Eukaryota, Metazoa, Chordata, Aves, Tinamiformes, Tinamidae. The record is from RefSeq and is a predicted model, not a curated record.
CGCCGCCGUUUGACCCGGUGACGCACAUCCCCACACCGGGCUGGGUGGCUCGAGCAACACGGCUGUGAGUUCCCCGCGCCCAGGGCAGAACAUUCCUGCAGGGAGUAAGACCYGCUCUCCACUGGCAUUUUUCGCUUAUUUCAGCUAAAGAGCAGCAACAAAAACACUAAACAGAUACAUUUCCACAUCAUGAACACAUUUUGAUGUUCUUGGGAUAUCCACAAGGUGGCAUAUGAUCUCUUCUGUUUUGGUAUCUGCAGGACCUUGGGAAACAUUAAGUCAAGGAAGGAUUUAUUUAAGAACUAUUUGCCUGAAGUGUUGUUCCAUUUGGAAGAACCAUAUGUAGAUUCAAGGUGUAAUCACUAACAAGACUGUACUACAUGACAAUGCUGUGGACGCUGUCGUACUGCAGAAUUGUUGAUAAGCUUAUGGUAAUUUCAGAAAACCCUGGCCUCUACUCUUUUCAUUAUACUGGAUAAUAUGUGUGAAGCAAUAGCUGCUUGACGACUUACACAUGCAGUUCAGACAUUGCAGGGUUAACUGAAGUCAUAAAGCUUAUAGCAGCAUGUUCAGAAGUUUUCCUCAGCUUUGGAAUCACUUCUGUUCUCCCUAGUGCCUUUUUCCAACCUGUAUCUUCAACUAGCUCCAAGAAAUAGGAACAGCACAACUUUCAACUAGCUGAACUGCUUUCCAUACAUAGCACUAUGUAGAUAAUUUAUAGUUAACACUUGCAAUUCCCUGCAUUUUAAGUCUACACCUAGGCUUUCCUCCCAAAGAGCAUUUAAAAAGAUUUUGCAGCCUUCCCAAUUUGUCCUUCUCCCAAGAAUGGCUGACUAGGGGCCUCAGUUAAAUAAUAACUCUGUGAUCUAACUAGCCCUCUCAGGCAUUGCCAAUUUGAAUGUCAAAGUUGUUCAUCACACAGGUUAUUCCAGACACAAGUGACCCAAAUUAAAGUGAUGGUGUAACACACAUUUUUCUGUAGGCAUUAUAAAAGCAAUUCAAAGCCUUGAACACUGAGAUUUCCGAUCAACUACAAAAGGAAAGAUAUAUUACAACCUAAUUAAUGGUUUGACACAAUCUUCCUACUUUCUUGGUAGCACAAGUUUAACAUGUCCUGACAUCCUGGCCACCUUCUACCCCUAAACAUGGCUGAAUUAAUUUUGC